CAAUUAGAGAGUUUGAUCCUGGCUCAGGAUGAACGCUGGCGGCGUGCUUAACACAUUCAAGUCGAACGAACUUUAGAAAAAAGCUUGCUUUUAUCUAAAGUUAGUGGCGGACGGGUGAGUAAUACAUGAGCAACCUGCCUUUAAGAGGGGAAUAACACAUGGAAACGUGUGCUAAUACCGCAUAGAGCAUCAGUGAGGCAUCUCACAGAUGGGAAAGGAGCAAUCCGCUUAAAGAUGGGCUCAUGGCUGAUUAGAUAGUUGGUGGGGUAAAGGCCUACCAAGUCGACGAUCGGUAGCCGAACUGAGAGGUUGAACGGCCACAUUGGAACUGAGAAACGGUCCAGACUCCUACGGGAGGCAGCAGUGGGGAAUAUUGGGCAAUGGGCGAAAGCCUGACCCAGCGACGUCGCGUGAGGGAAGAAGGUCUUCGGAUUGUAAACCUUUGUAGGCAGGGACGAAAAAAAUGACGGUACCUGCAAAGUAAGCCACGGCUAACUACGUGCCAGCAGCCGCGGUAAUACGUAGGUGGCGAGCGUUAUCCGGAAUUAUUGGGUGUAAAGGGUGAGUAGGCGGUUUUGCAAGUCAGAUGUGAAAUACUGAAGCUUAACUUCAGAAUUGCAUUUGAAACUGCAAAUCUUGAGAGUCGGAGAGGUAAUCGGAAUUCCCGGUGUAGCGGUAAAAUGCGUAGAGAUCGGGAGGAACACCAGUGGCGAAGGCGGAUUACUGGACGACAACUGACGCUGAGACACGAAAGCGUGGGGAGCAAACAGGAUUAGAUACCCUGGUAGUCCACGCUGUAAACGAUGAAUGCUAGGUGUGGGGUCGAAAGGCUCCGUGCCGGAGUUAACACAAUAAGCAUUCCACCUGGGGAGUACGGCCGCAAGGUUGAAACCCAAAGGAAUUGACGGGAGCCCGCACAAGCAGUGGAGUAUGUGGAUUAAUUCGAUGCAACGCGAAGAACCUUACCAGGGCUUGACAUCCACAGGAGGCCGAGUAAAUUUGGCUGUGCCCCUUCGGGGGAACUGUGAGACAGGUGGUGCAUGGUUGUCGUCAGCUCGUGUCGUGAGAUGUUGGGUUAAGUCCCGCAACGAGCGCAACCCCUACGGUUAGUUGCUACGGAAGAGCACUCUAACAGGACUGCCGUUGAUAAAACGGAGGAAGGUGGGGACGACGUCAAAUCAUCAUGCCCCUUACGCUCUGGGCUUCACACGUACUACAAUGGCGCAAACAGAGGGGAGCAAGGCGGCGACGCGGAGCAAAUCCCAAAAAGGCGCCCCAGUUCAGAUUGCAGGCUGCAACUCGCCUGCAUGAAGUUGGAAUUGCUAGUAAUCGCAAAUCAGAAUGUUGCGGUGAAUACGUACCCGGGCUUUGUACACACCGCCCGUCAAACCACGGGAGUCGGGAAAACCUGAAGUCUGUGUCCUAACCGAAAGGAGGGAGCAGCCGAAGGUGGGUCCGAUGAUUGGGGUUAAGUCGUAACAAGGUAGCCGUAUCGGAAGGUGCGGCUGGAUCACCUCCUUU
RNAcentral lists this ribosomal RNA (1521 nucleotides) under Eubacteriales bacterium OttesenSCG-928-G02. RNAcentral describes it as "bacterial SSU rRNA". It matches the Rfam family "Bacterial small subunit ribosomal RNA". The record is from RNAcentral. Lineage: Bacteria; Bacillati; Bacillota; Clostridia; Eubacteriales.